CAUCAUCGUUUGUAUCACAAGUCCAUUUUGUGAUAAGGCCGACAGUAAGUCCUACAAAGAACAACCCUGCGAUUGCACCAAUGAUACACAGCAACCUAUGUUUAUUUAGAUCACCACUUUUAGAUCUAAAUGAAAGUCUUUGCACAAUCGAACGUCGUUGAGGAGGUUUUAAAUAAAUAUCAGAUUCUCCAGCCCCAACAGGCGGAUCGGGUAGGUUGCGAUGAGUAGUUGACACUUUUUUUCAGGUAAUUCCAAG
Molecule: long non-coding RNA, 256 nt
Filed under: Mytilus galloprovincialis (Mediterranean mussel)
Lineage: Eukaryota; Metazoa; Mollusca; Bivalvia; Mytilida; Mytilidae
Source: RNAcentral